CCACUAUAGUGCCAGGAAAACAAACUUGUUUUCCUGGCACUAUAGUGCCCUGAGGGUGCCCCCACCCCCAGGGUCCCACUCCCGUGGCGCUGAAGGUGGAGGAAGGGGAUAAUCCCUUACCUUUUUUCCAGUGCCGGGCUCCCUCGGCGCUGGGACUCUCCUCCCUCUUCUGACGUGCCCAGUGAUCCAAGUAGAGACAGGACCUAAAAAUCUGGACUAUCAAAUCUAAAUCAUGAUGAUUGGGAGGCAUGCAAUCCAGGGCAGUCCAAUAAAA
Non-coding RNA from Pelobates cultripes (western spadefoot toad), 274 nucleotides. The record is from the annotation of a GenBank genome assembly. NCBI's taxonomy places the organism in Eukaryota, Metazoa, Chordata, Amphibia, Anura, Pelobatidae.